This 38-nucleotide ribosomal RNA is filed under the name Cliffortia incana. The record is from RNAcentral. Lineage: Eukaryota; Viridiplantae; Streptophyta; Magnoliopsida; Rosales; Rosaceae.
GAUGGGUGACCUCCUGGGAAGGCCUCGUGUUGCAACCC